GGGCGUAAAGGGCGUAAAGGGCGCGUAGGCGGCGUGGUAAGUCAGCUGUGAAAUCUCCGAGCUUAACUCGGAACGGUCAGCUGAUACUGCUGUGCUAGAGUACAGAAAGGGCAAUCGGAAUUCUUGGUGUAGCGGUGAAAUGCGUAGAUAUCAAGAGGAACACCUGAGGCGAAGGCGGGUUGCUAGGCUGAUACUGACGCUGAUGCGCGAAAGCUAGGGUAGCAAACGGGAUUAGAUACCCCGGUAGUCCUAGCCCUAAACGAUGAAUGCUUGGUGUCUGGANUUUAAGUCUCCGGGUGCCGUCGCUAACGCUUUUAGCAUUCCGCCUGGGGAGUACGCCCGCAAGUGUGAAACUCAAAGGAAUUGACGGGGACCCGCACAAGCCGUGG
RNAcentral lists this ribosomal RNA (389 nucleotides) under uncultured Acidobacteriota bacterium. Its description in RNAcentral is "bacterial SSU rRNA". It matches the Rfam family "Bacterial small subunit ribosomal RNA", at positions 547 to 935 of the family's 1533-position model. Lineage: Bacteria; Pseudomonadati; Acidobacteriota. The record is from RNAcentral.